Long non-coding RNA from Diabrotica virgifera virgifera (western corn rootworm), 1260 nucleotides. RefSeq lists it as uncharacterized. The transcript has 2 exons. The record is from RefSeq and is a predicted model, not a curated record. NCBI's taxonomy places the organism in Eukaryota, Metazoa, Arthropoda, Insecta, Coleoptera, Chrysomelidae.
GUAGCAGUUAUGCUACGGACCAUUUAAAAUUAAUUACGAUUUUCGAUUCAUUCAAUUAUAUUUCAUUAAAAAUACCCCUCUAGAAAAUUCUUUGGAGACGCCUAUUUAAUCGCCUAGGUGCCUAUUUUCGCAGCGAAGCAAGAGGAAAGCACCGCGCAUGUUUCUAUCGGAUCGAUACGAAUCGAUUUCCGAUAACAUUGAACAGCAGUUGGUCAGGAAACGGCUCGAAGGGCGGAUGGCGCGCCGCUAGUAAGGUUAUUCCCCCUUUUAAGUGACGGGAUUGAAACAAAUUUUCGAUGGAAAUCAAAUAAUUAGAAGGAAAUCAAGCGUCAGCUAAUCCCAUCUACAAAACUAGAUAACCAAAGUUAAACAUCUCUUUGGACUUCUUCACAUAACAGAAGUGGAUAUUCCGGCGUGCCUGCCUUGUUUCAAUCCCGUAACUUAGUUAUUUAGUCACACAACGUGACUCUAUCACGUUGAUUAUGUACUACCUAGUUAGAUUGCUAGCCACUCUGUGAUGGUUUAUCCCUAGAGUGGGCUGUUUUUUGUUGGAUAAUACACCAUACCGGAUUUUAUUACAACCAGCAUCUUCACCCAGGACCUUGCAGUAGGACUUACUCACCACAGCAGCCAACCAUUUUAUCAUGCCAAAAGGGAAUUUCCUAUGGAAUUCAUCUCUAUGGACUUGCAACCCUACUUUUAACCGACUGUUGUGUAAAAGCUAAGUUUAUUUACUUUUUCAUUAUUUACUUUUGGGUAAGAUAUAUUUGCUACAUUGUAAACUUUUCGUAUGCAUACGAUUAGGAAGAGUACAUAUAUUUUCGUGAUAGAUAGGGUUUUAGGUUGUUGUUUUUUUUUCUUUUUGAUUUAGUAUAAGUAGGAGUUAGUUAAAAUAAAUAAAAUCAGGUCUUGUUUAAUAAUCAUAAAUAAUUGUAUCUUAAAAUUUAAUAGGGAAUCGGGUUGUAAAAUUUUGUCGCGGAUUUUAAAUAGGGAAUACGUCUCGUAGGUUUUUUUUGUAAAAUAUAUAAAGAGUCACUGACCAACUCAUUUAUAUAGACCUUUUUGCUAUUCCAACGGACUUUUGAUUUGGAUUUUGAUUUUAAUACUUUUGCUUGGCCAGUGAUAAUGGAUAAUUGCUUGUUGAGUGGCCUUUGCGGUCCUAUUUUAUCUUUUCCCCAUCCACUAUCACUGUUAUUACGUUGCGUUAUAUGUAAAGUGUUAACAUUUAAUAUUUAUUAUUAAUAUAUUUGUAUGUAUUAA